GAUGAACGCUGGCGGCGUGCCUAAUACAUGCAAGUCGAGCGAACGGACGAGAAGCUUGCUUCUCUGAUGUUAGCGGCGGACGGGUGAGUAACACGUGGAUAACCUACCUAUAAGACUGGGAUAACUUCGGGAAACCGGAGCUAAUACCGGAUAAUAUUUUGAACCGCAUGGUUCAAAAGUGAAAGACGGUCUUGCUGUCACUUAUAGAUGGAUCCGCGCUGCAUUAGCUAGUUGGUAAGGUAACGGCUUACCAAGGCAACGAUGCAUAGCCGACCUGAGAGGGUGAUCGGCCACACUGGAACUGAGACACGGUCCAGACUCCUACGGGAGGCAGCAGUAGGGAAUCUUCCGCAAUGGGCGAAAGCCUGACGGAGCAACGCCGCGUGAGUGAUGAAGGUCUUCGGAUCGUAAAACUCUGUUAUUAGGGAAGAACAUAUGGUAAGUAACUGUGCACAUCUUGACGGUACCUAAUCAGAAAGCCACGGCUAACUACGUG
RNAcentral lists this ribosomal RNA (496 nucleotides) under uncultured bacterium. RNAcentral describes it as "partial 16S ribosomal RNA". It matches the Rfam family "Bacterial small subunit ribosomal RNA", at positions 28 to 507 of the family's 1533-position model. The record is from RNAcentral.